Molecule: long non-coding RNA, 560 nt
Organism: Trifolium pratense (red clover)
Lineage: Eukaryota; Viridiplantae; Streptophyta; Magnoliopsida; Fabales; Fabaceae
Exons: 2
Source: RefSeq, a predicted model, not a curated record
UAUUAUUUUGGGGAAAAAGAUAUAUGACAUAGAAAAUUGAAGUACUCUAUUCUAAAAAUCGAAAAUUGUGCUUAUUGUUCCUCUCAUUCAAUUUGGGAAGAAGAAGAAGAAGAAAAAUGAUUUAUCGGAAGUGGAGUCUCCUUACAGGUCCGACGUCUAUCAUCGCUGGUGUAGUGGCCACCGUCGCCGUCGCCAACUUCAUAUUGGUCAAGAACGAUCCAUUCACUAAACCAGAUCAGAGGAAAUUUGGAGAUCAAACUGUAACCAAGUAGUCAAAAAGAUGUCACAGUGGUUUGCGUUUUGAUGUAAUUUAAACAUUGAUUUAUGAGCCCUUUAUGCUAUUUUGCAAGACAUGCUCUCUUUAGUUUAAUAAAUUCUUAGAUGUCAAAUGAUGUCUGGACUCUGGAGUAUGGACCCUAGUUUAGAACUAACCUAUAAAAGUUUUAAAGAACUGGUUCACAUUUCAGAGAUCCAUUCUUGUUUCUUCUGUACAAUGUCAAAUAGAAACAUGUAAUAAUCUCAUAUUUCAUUUCUUCUACCCUUAUCAAUUUUCUGUUAAA